RNAcentral lists this ribosomal RNA (440 nucleotides) under Salmonella enterica. RNAcentral's name for it is "bacterial SSU rRNA". It matches the Rfam family "Bacterial small subunit ribosomal RNA", at positions 871 to 1311 of the family's 1533-position model. The record is from RNAcentral. Lineage: Bacteria; Pseudomonadati; Pseudomonadota; Gammaproteobacteria; Enterobacterales; Enterobacteriaceae.
GCCUGGGGAGUACGGCCGCAAGGUUAAAACUCAAAUGAAUUGACGGGGGCCCGCACAAGCGGUGGAGCAUGUGGUUUAAUUCGAUGCAACGCGAAGAACCUUACCUGGUCUUGACAUCCACAGAACUUUUCAGAGAUGGAAAGGUGCCUUCGGGAACUGUGAGACAGGUGCUGCAUGGCUGUCGUCAGCUCGUGUUGUGAAAUGUUGGGUUAAGUCCCGCAACGAGCGCAACCCUUAUCCUUUGUUGCCAGCGGUCCGGCCGGGAACUCAAAGGAGACUGCCAGUGAUAAACUGGAGGAAGGUGGGGAUGACGUCAAGUCAUCAUGGCCCUUACGACCAGGGCUACACACGUGCUACAAUGGCGCAUACAAAGAGAAGCGACCUCGCGAGAGCAAGCGGACCUCAUAAAGUGCGUCGUAGUCCGGAUUGGAGUCUGCAAC